UUAAGUUCAGCGGGUAUUCCUACCUGAUCCGAGGUCAACCUGUAAAAGUUUUGGGGGUUUUACGGCAAGAGUCCCUCCGGAUCCCAGUGCGAGACGUUAAGUUACUACGCAAAGGAGGCUCCGGGAGGGUCCGCCACUACCUUAAGGGCCUACGUCGACCGUAGGGCCCCAACACCAAGCAGGGCUUGAGGGUUGAAAUG
RNAcentral lists this unclassified non-coding RNA (200 nucleotides) under Colletotrichum sp. Its description in RNAcentral is "partial internal transcribed spacer 2". Lineage: Eukaryota; Fungi; Ascomycota; Sordariomycetes; Glomerellales; Glomerellaceae. The record is from RNAcentral.